AACGAACGCUGGCGGCAUGCCUAACACAUGCAAGUCGAACGAGAUCUUCGGGUCUAGUGGCGCACGGGUGCGUAACGCGUGGGAAUCUGCCCUUUGGUUCGGAAUAACAGUUGGAAACGACUGCUAAUACCGGAUGAUGACGAAAGUCUAACGAUUUAUCGCCAGAGGAUGAGCCCGCGUAGGAUUAGCUAGUUGGUGUGGUAAAGGCGAACCAAGGCGACGAUCCUUAGCUGGUCUGAGAGGAUGAUCAGCCACACUGGGACUGAGACACGGCCCAGACUCCUACGGGAGGCAGCAGUGGGGAAUAUUGGACAAUGGGCGAAAGCCUGAUCCAGCAAUGCCGCGUGAGUGAUGAAGGCCUUAGGGUUGUAAAGCUCGUUUACCCGGGAUGAUAAUGACAGUACCGGGAGAAUAAGCUCCGGCUAACUCCGUGCCAGCCGCCGCAGUAA
Molecule: ribosomal RNA, 449 nt
Filed under: uncultured bacterium
Lineage: Bacteria
Description: partial 16S ribosomal RNA
Rfam family: Bacterial small subunit ribosomal RNA
Source: RNAcentral